RNAcentral lists this ribosomal RNA (495 nucleotides) under uncultured bacterium. Its description in RNAcentral is "partial 16S ribosomal RNA". It matches the Rfam family "Bacterial small subunit ribosomal RNA", at positions 28 to 507 of the family's 1533-position model. The record is from RNAcentral.
GAUGAACGCUGGCGGCGUGCCUAAUACAUGCAAGUAGAACGGUGAAGGAGGAGCUUGCUCUUCUGGAUGAGUUGCGAACGGGUGAGUAACGCGUAGGUAACCUGCCUGGUAGCGGGGGAUAACUAUUGGAAACGAUAGCUAAUACCGCAUGACAACAGUUAUUGCAUGAUAACUGUUUAAAAGGGGCAACUGCUCCACUACCAGAUGGACCUGCGUUGGAUUAGCUAGGUGGUGAGGUAACGGCUCACCAAGGCGACGAUACGGAGCCGCCCGGAGAGGGUGAUCGGCCACACUGGGACGGAGACACGGCCCAGACUCCUACGGGAGGCAGCAGUAGGGAAUCUUCGGCAAGGGACGGAAGUCUGACCGAGCAACGCCGCGUGAGUGAAGAAGGUUGUCGGAUCGUAAAGCUCGGUUGCAAGAGAAGAACGAGUGUGAGAGUGGAAAGUUCACACUGUGACGGUAUCUUACCAGAAAGGGACGGCUAACUACGUG